CAUAGCUCCAACCAUCAAAGCCGCUCCACUUAAUUAUCUCAAAAUGGCCCACGGCGACAAUGACGACCAUGAUAUUAAAAGUUCGGCCUCGGCCCCGGCCCCAGCCUCAUCCGCUGCCGCCAGUGUGAAAAUAUCCUCCUCCGGACUCUCCAGUUCUCAAAAUUCAACCUCAGGACAUGGUCCUGGAUAUUCGUAAUCUCACUUGAUUAGAGAGAUUAGAUGUGUCUGCUGCCCACCAUCCAUAUAUAGUCCCUUCAAACAUCAUCUUUUUUCUAGAGUUGGUACGGACCAAAUGAUGAAGAAAUGAAAAAGGAAGGCUAACUGUAGCGUUUGUACAUCGUUGGCUGCUUUGGAGGUUAUGGGGAGUCAGGCAGACGGUGGGGCUUACCGGAGUGAAGCGGGUUCGUCGACAUGCUGAAAAUGUCGUAUCGACGAGACUCAACGAAAUGGACUUACCAACACACCUGAAAUUAUGAAUCCUUUUAUGGUUAAUUAUUUACAUGAAUUAUUUAUAUGGAGAUAGAUGCUUAUUGUUGACUA
This is a long non-coding RNA of Vitis vinifera (wine grape), 540 nucleotides long. RefSeq lists it as uncharacterized. The record is from RefSeq and is a predicted model, not a curated record. The transcript is spliced from 2 exons. NCBI's taxonomy places the organism in Eukaryota, Viridiplantae, Streptophyta, Magnoliopsida, Vitales, Vitaceae.